UUCGCAAUGCCCGAAAGGGUGACGAAGCGACGCCGCGUGCGGGAAGAAGGCCUUCGGGUUGUAAACCGCUGUCGGGAGUUAAGAAAUGCAAGGAUAUUAAUAGUGUCUUUGCUUGACUAAGGCUCCGGAGGAAGCCACGGCUAACUCUGUGCCAGCAGCCGCGGUAAUACAGAGGCGGCAAGCGUUGUUCGGAAUUAUUGGGCGUAAAGAGCACGUAGGCGGCUGUGUAAGUCGGUUGUGAAAGCCUUCCGCUCAACGGGAGAACGGCAUCCGAUACUGCAUGGCUUGAGUGCGGGAGGGGAGAGUGGAACUUCUGGUGGAGCGGUGAAAUGCGUAGAUAUCAGAAGGAACACCGGCGGCGAAGGCGACUCUCUGGCCCGUAACUGACGCUGAGUGUGCGAAAGCUAGGGGAGCAAACGGGAUUAGAUACCCCGGUAGUCCUAGCCGUAAACGAUGGGCACUAAGUAGAGGGGUUUU
Molecule: ribosomal RNA, 477 nt
Filed under: uncultured anaerobic ammonium-oxidizing bacterium
Lineage: Bacteria
Description: bacterial SSU rRNA
Rfam family: Bacterial small subunit ribosomal RNA
Source: RNAcentral